AUUGAACGCUGGCGGCAGGCCUAACACAUGCAAGUCGAGCGAGCGGCGGACGGGUGAGUAAUGUAUGGGGACUGCCCGAUAGAGGGGGAUAACUACUGGAAACGGUAGCUAAUACCGCAUACUAUCGGAUAACCCAUAUGGGAUUAGCAAGUAGGUGAGGUAAUGGCUCACCUAGGCAACGAUCCCUAGCUGGUCUGAGAGGAUGAUCAGCCACACUGGGAAGGAGAAGCGGCCCAGACUCCUACGGAGGCAGCAGUGGAGAGUAUUGAACAAUAGGCGCAAGCCUGUUGCAGCCAUGCCGCUUGUAUGAGGAAGGCCCUAGAGUUGUAAAGUACUAUCAGUCGGGAAGCGUUACCGUCAGAAGAAGCACCGGCUAACUCCGUGCCAGCAGCCGCGGUAAUUC
This 403-nucleotide ribosomal RNA is filed under the name uncultured bacterium. RNAcentral describes it as "partial 16S ribosomal RNA". It matches the Rfam family "Bacterial small subunit ribosomal RNA", at positions 30 to 526 of the family's 1533-position model. The record is from RNAcentral.